This 377-nucleotide ribosomal RNA is filed under the name Rhodomonas sp. Its description in RNAcentral is "SSU rRNA". It matches the Rfam family "Eukaryotic small subunit ribosomal RNA", at positions 587 to 975 of the family's 1831-position model. The record is from RNAcentral. Lineage: Eukaryota; Cryptophyceae; Pyrenomonadales; Pyrenomonadaceae.
AGCUCUAAUAGCGUAUAUUAAAGUUGUUGCAGUUAAAAAGCUCGUAGUCGGAUGUCGGGUUCGGGGUGGCUGUCGGCCUAGGUCGGAUGGCCGUUCCGGAUCUUUCUGCCUGGGGAUCCUAUUCUUCUUAACCGAGGGGUAGUGGGACGCAGGCCGUUUACUUUGAAAAAAUUAGAGUGUUCAAAGCAGGCUUUGUCUUGAAUACAUUAGCAUGGAAUAAUGGAAUAGGACUUUGGUCUUAUUUGUUGGUUUAUGGGACCGAAGUAAUGAUUAACAGGGACAGUUGGGGCCGUUUAUAUUUCGUUGUCAGAGGUGAAAUUCUUGGAUUUACGAAAGAUAAACUUCUGCGAAAGCAUUCGGCAAGGAUGUUUUCAUUG